RNAcentral lists this small RNA (3316 nucleotides) under Pongo abelii (Sumatran orangutan). RNAcentral's name for it is "retained intron". The record is from RNAcentral. Lineage: Eukaryota; Metazoa; Chordata; Mammalia; Primates; Hominidae.
CUCUGGGCACUAGCGAGGAGCCUGGGGAGGGGGGACGGGAAUUCCCCCAGAGGCCAGGGCUUGACUGCCCUGCAGGGCCCUCGCUGUCGCUUUUUUCCCUCACGAUGUCUCAUCCCUCAACCUCUGUUCUCCAUCCAAAGGCAUCUCUGUGAAUCCACCUGGCACGGGAGCGGCGCUGAUGCCACAAAUGCGGGCCUGACUGCUGGGCGGAGCUCGCCAGUCAACAGGGCUUGGUGUGGCUGGGGCAGCCCUGAGACCCCAGGCCCUGCCGCUGCGGCUUCCCCUUCCUGGCUCCUCUUCUCUGUGGGACGGAAAGGCUCUCUCCUGGGGAAGGCUCAGAGCUGAGCUGAUGGGUGUUUGAAGUUUCUCCACACACAGGGUCCCCUGGCAUCUCCCUCUGUCAUUUGGUGGCCAAGUGACAUUUCCCAGCAGCCCUGCUGCAGACGCCAUCUGUUCUCGGGGGAGACUCAGGUGGCCUGGGCCCUUCUGGUAGCCGCUUACCCAGCCUGACCCCAGGCUCCAGCGAGGCUGCUCCAGAUCGGGGCUUCUCUGCCCAGGUGAAGGGCGGGUGUGGGAGUUUUCUGUAGAGGCCGCUGUCCCCUGCUACCCCGGCCCCGUGUGGGACCCUGGGUCUGUCUGACAGACAGAGGCUUCCUGAGCCGGGCCCUUGGGAUGACGGGUAGGAAUCUAGGGUGGAUCCACAGGAAUUAGAGAUUUUAUCAGUUUUGUUUUCUAAAUGAAAUUCUACAGCCCCAUAGCAGCGUGAUGCUGAUGGUCCUGUCCCCUAUGGCCCCCAUCCUGGAGGCGCCCUGGUGUGGGCUGUGGGCCUGGGGGUACUUAGCACUGUCCAGUAUGCGGACGUGCCAGCAGCCCACAUUUCCCCCAGUGACCACCAGGCUGUGCCCUGGACAUGGCCGUCUGAGCACGUCGUGUCCUGGGGGCAGGGCCCCGUCUGGUGGUCAGGCUCAGUGCGAGCCCAUCAGGGGUGCUCUGCCCGCCUGGGGAGACAGCGUGGCUUCUGGGGGCUCCUCCAGGGAGGCUCUGGACCAGGCUGCAGAGGAUGCCAACCUGCCACAGGCUGGCCUGGCCGCUCAUGGACAUGGUGGCUCCUGGCCCAGGGUCUCUCCCCUGGGAACCCAGGCGUGCUCGCGGCCCUCUGGAAUGCAGGCGCUGGGGCUGUGGGGGGCCGCCUGGCGCCUGGCAUCUUGUUAUAAAAAGCUCUGGCGCAGGCUGCUCUCAGUGGCUGCAGGAUGGUUGUGGCUUUGGAAGGGCAGCCCCCAGGGGCCUUGGUCAGCCACCUGUGGGCCCCACUGCCGGGCCGUGGUCAGCCCUCACUGGCUGCCCUGCCAUGACGCUGCCGAGGCCAAUGCAGCUCCCGCCAGACUCCUGUGACAAGUCAUGACAGAGCCACAUGCUGGGUGGCUGCAGGGCCCUGUCGCCCACAGCAGUCGAGGUCUCAGGUGUGUCUGGAGGGCAACCCUGGAGACACCUGGGACAGGUGUACCUCUGGCAGGCACACCCAGGCUGUCACCCAGUGUGGGCAUGGUGGGGGUGCUGGAAUGCUGUGCAGGGCAGGAGGCAGCAGCCCGUGGCUGCGUGGGAGACUGCAGGGGAGACGGGACGGGACCAGGAGGGUUGUUCCCAGGGCCUGCCAAGCCAUCCCCAGGUGUUGAGAGUGGGAGGUAGGGGUGGGAGCCGAGAGCCGGCUCCGGGCCACCCCCACUCCCAAUGGCUCUCGGCUGUUCUGUGUGAGAGGGGCGGGGCCGAGUGUGGGUCAGCGCAGUGCUGAGGUGUCCCACGCACUCCAGCACUGGGCUGAAUGCAUUGAAAUCACUGCCCAGGGCUCCGCGAGCUGCAUGGCCCGGCUUUGUCAAUUUCAUUGCUGUUGAUGCCAAUUAGGAGUGACGCUGUCCCUCCCGCAUCCCAGGGUGGGCAGAGGGAGGGGCCGGCUUGUUCCCUGGGGGCAAGCAAGCAUGGAGUCAGCCUGGCCAUGGAGCCGUGGCCAAGAGGGCAGUGGGGGCAGCGGGGGCAGCUGGACUGGGGUUUUUGCCGACGCUCUAAUUUGGCGGCCGUCGCCACCCCUCCUUCCCAUGGAGACCCUGACGUGGCCUGAGCCAGACUCCAGGGACCAUGUGCCCUGCUGGGGAGCAGGGGCUCGGCGUCAGGUCUGGUGCACUGACUGGGAGAGGGGGGUCUCCAGCCCUGGACAGGCCCUGAGUGGGGUGGGGGCCCCCAGCUGCUGUGCCCAGCCCUGCCCCCAGGACCUGGCCUUGGCCCUGCACUGGCCAGGGCCAGGGAGGGAGUGGGCCCAGCUCCCAAGUCUGUGUGACCACCUCGGCUGGGGGCACCGACAGCUCGGGGUGCGGAGGGCCCAGCCCGUGACACCCGCUGUCAGCUGCGCCCUCUGCCUCCAGCCCGUGGACCGGGAGCCUGUGGACCGGGAGCCUGUGGACCGGGAGCCCGUGGACCGGGAGCCAGUGGUGUGCCACCCCGACCUGGAGGAGCGGCUGCAGGCCUGGCCAGCGGAGCUGCCUGAUGAGUUCUUUGAGCUGACGGUGGACGACGUGAGAAGACGCUUGGCCCAGCUCAAGAGUGAGCGGAAGCGCCUGGAAGAAGCCCCCUUGAUGACCAAGGCCUUCAGGGAGGCGCAGAUAAAGGAGAAGCUGGAGCGGUGGCUCUGAGGGUCCUGUUCCCCGACCGCUACGUCCUACAGGGCUUCUUUCGCCCCAGCGAGACAGUGGGGGACUUGCGAGACUUCGUGAGGAGCCACCUGGGGAACCCCGAGCUGUCGUUUUACCUGUUCAUCACCCCUCCAAAAACAGUCCUGGACGACCACACGCGGACCCUCUUUCAGGUGAACCUCUUCCCGACUGCUCUGGUGCACUUUGGAGCCGAGGAGCCGGCAGGUGUCUACCUGGAGCCUGGCCUGCUGGAGCAUGCCAUCUCCCCAUCUGCGGCCGACGUGCUGGUGGCCAGGUAAGUGCCGGUGGGUCUGGGGGCACCUCCCGUGGCGGCACUCACCACUCUGUGUCUUCGCCUCCCCACAGGUACAUGUCCAGGGCUGCCAGGUCCCCUUCCCCAUUGCCAGCCCCUGACCCUGCACCUGAGUCUGAGCCAGCUGCUGAGGACGGGGCGCUGGUCCCCCCAGAGCCCAUCCCAGGGACGGCCCAGCCCGUGAAGAGGAGCCUGGGCAAGGUGCCCAAGUGGCUGAAGCUGCCUGCCAGCAAGAGGUGAGAGCUGCCAGCCCGAGGUGCCCACUCUGCCAGCCACAGGACCACCUCCCCUGCCAGCAGGAAUAAAGACUUGUGCAUCCCUC